RNAcentral lists this ribosomal RNA (301 nucleotides) under uncultured bacterium. Its description in RNAcentral is "partial 16S ribosomal RNA". It matches the Rfam family "Bacterial small subunit ribosomal RNA", at positions 509 to 809 of the family's 1533-position model. The record is from RNAcentral.
CAGUCGCCGCGGUAAUGCGUAGGUGGCGAGCGUUGUCCGGAUUUAUUGGGCGUAAAGGGAGUGUAGGCGGUCUUUUAAGUCUGAUGUGAAAGCCCACGGCUCAACCGUGGAGGGUCAUUGGAAACUGGGAGACUUGAGUGCAGAAGAGGAGAGCGGAAUUCCAUGUGUAGCGGUGAAAUGCGUAGAUAUAUGGAGGAACACCGGUGGCGAAAGCGGCUCUCUGGCUUGUAACUGACGCUGAGGCUCGAAAGCGUGGGGAGCAAACAGGAUUAGAUACCCCUGUAGUCCCUGUCUCUUAUAA